Molecule: non-coding RNA, 21 nt
Filed under: Caenorhabditis elegans
Lineage: Eukaryota; Metazoa; Nematoda; Chromadorea; Rhabditida; Rhabditidae
Source: RNAcentral
UGUGACAUACUCUGUAAAAAU